AAUGAAUCUGAAUGCUUUCAUAGAAAGUUGAUGAACUAAUCUUCUGUAAUGCUAUUAUGAGGAUUACCCUUUGAGGUUUAUAGCAAUAGGCCGCCCUAUGGUUUGUCACAUGCAUUUAUU
This 120-nucleotide small RNA is filed under the name human gut metagenome. RNAcentral describes it as "Staphylococcus-1 RNA". It matches the Rfam family "Staphylococcus-1 RNA". From Rfam's summary of the family: Firmicute (1 example). Nearby to self-splicing intron genes The record is from RNAcentral.